RNAcentral lists this ribosomal RNA (215 nucleotides) under Shigella flexneri. RNAcentral describes it as "partial 16S ribosomal RNA". It matches the Rfam family "Bacterial small subunit ribosomal RNA", at positions 1 to 215 of the family's 1533-position model. The record is from RNAcentral. Lineage: Bacteria; Pseudomonadati; Pseudomonadota; Gammaproteobacteria; Enterobacterales; Enterobacteriaceae.
AAAUUGAAGAGUUUGAUCAUGGCUCAGAUUGAACGCUGGCGGCAGGCCUAACACAUGCAAGUCGAACGGUAACAGGAAACAGCUUGCUGUUUCGAUGACGAGUGGCGGACGGGUGAGUAAUGUCUGGGAAACUGCCUGAUGGAGGGGGAUAACUACUGGAAACGGUAGCUAAUACCGCAUAACGUCGCAAGACCAAAGAGGGGGACCUUCGGGCC